Molecule: ribosomal RNA, 465 nt
Filed under: uncultured bacterium
Lineage: Bacteria
Description: partial 16S ribosomal RNA
Rfam family: Bacterial small subunit ribosomal RNA
Source: RNAcentral
CUACGGGUCGCUGCAGUGGGGAAUAUUGCGCAAUGGGCGAAAGCCUGACGCAGCAACGCCGUGUGAGGGAUGAAGGCUUUCGGGUCGUAAACCUCUGUCGGAAGGGAAGAACGGGCAUUGGUCUAAUAGGCCUUUGUUUUGACGGUACCUUUAGAGGAAGCACCGGCUAACUCCGUGCCAGCAGCCGCGGUAAUACGGAGGGUGCAAGCGUUAUUCGGAAUUACUGGGCGUAAAGCGCACGUAGGCCGUUUUGUAAGUCAGGGGUGAAAUCCCACGGCUCAACCGUGGAACUGCCUUUGAAACUGGAGGACUUGAAUCCUGGAGAGGGUGGCGGAAUUCCUGGUGUAGGAGUGAAAUCCGUAGAUAUCAGGAGGAACACCGGUGGCGAAGGCGGCCACCUGGACAGGUAUUGACGCUGAGGUGCGAAAGUGUGGGGAGCAAACAGGAUUAGAUACCCCCGUAGUC